RNAcentral lists this long non-coding RNA (320 nucleotides) under Volvox carteri. Its description in RNAcentral is "long non-coding RNA (VCAR_LNC000731)". Lineage: Eukaryota; Viridiplantae; Chlorophyta; Chlorophyceae; Chlamydomonadales; Volvocaceae. The record is from RNAcentral.
CCGAGAGGCGUUGAUGUGACCAUGAGCUCGGUCAAUGGAGGCAGCCAAAGUUGUUUGUGCUCAUACGAUCUUUGUUAGCUACAUGCGAGAUACCUUGCAAUAGAGAAUGCUAUAUAGUACCGAUAACGCGUUUCAGCCGGGUAAAACAUUAUGUUUGGUCCGUUACACACUCAAGGCCUGGGAGUUCGAGUUAUCAUACGCCGUCAUCUAAGAAUUCAAAUAUGAGAUACGCGGUACCUUUGAGAUUAAAUUUAGCCCGAGAGGCGCUGAUGUGACUUUGGCCUCGGUCAAUUGAGGCAGCCAAAGUUGUCUGUGCUCAU